AUGACAAACUCAGAGUUGCUGUGACCAUAUUUACUGGCAUGUGGACAGAGCCAAAGCUGAGAGAGAGGGAAACCUCCCAUCAUUUUCAUUCUUGGAUUCCGUCAUGCCAGGAACCAGCCUCUCAUCUUAGACUUCCACAAUCUUGGAACCAACAAAUUAUCUCUUGAGCUUACAUUCGUUUGAGUUGAGUUUUUGUUAGCUGGUUCUUUUAUUGCUUUCAAGAAUUUUGUCAUCUCAUGAGGAAAUAUAUAGUUGUAGUGGAAGGCAUCCUGUGAUAUGUGUACGGGAAGUACCUGCAGACAUCACUCAGGGACAGAGAACAAAGAUGACUCAAUCCCAGUGAAGACACUGAGGAAAACUGCAAUGAAGGAGGAGGUGGCACUGGGGUAUAUUAUUGUGGUGUCUGGAUGCACUUUUCAUCACUGUGUUUCUCAAACUUACUGCAAGGUGGCUACGCCAACUUUUUCUUCAAGUGGCAUCCCUACAAUGUGAUUUAUGGAGUUUCUUUAUUCAGGACAAAUAAGAUUCACAAUAAGGUGAUGAGGCAUUUCAACUCAUCUCUGAGAGGAUGUGAAGUUUUGCUACAAUACAGAGAUUAAUAAAAGCCAUUUUUGUACCACUGUUUAAGAGAAACUGGCUGAAUGGUG
Molecule: long non-coding RNA, 647 nt
Organism: Canis lupus familiaris (dog)
Lineage: Eukaryota; Metazoa; Chordata; Mammalia; Carnivora; Canidae
Exons: 4
Source: RefSeq, a predicted model, not a curated record